RNAcentral lists this ribosomal RNA (495 nucleotides) under uncultured bacterium. RNAcentral describes it as "partial 16S ribosomal RNA". It matches the Rfam family "Bacterial small subunit ribosomal RNA", at positions 29 to 506 of the family's 1533-position model. The record is from RNAcentral.
AUGAACGCUGGCGGCGUGCCUAAUACAUGCAAGUCGAGCGAACAGACGAGGAGCUUGCUCCUCUGACGUUAGCGGCGGACGGGUGAGUAACACGUGGAUAACCUACCUAUAAGACUGGGAUAACUUCGGGAAACCGGAGCUAAUACCGGAUAAUAUAUUGAACCGCAUGGUUCAAUAGUGAAAGACGGUUUUGCUGUCACUUAUAGAUGGAUCCGCGCCGCAUUAGCUAGUUGGUAAGGUAACGGCUUACCAAGGCAACGAUGCGUAGCCGACCUGAGAGGGUGAUCGGCCACACUGGAACUGAGACACGGUCCAGACUCCUACGGGAGGCAGCAGUAGGGAAUCUUCCGCAAUGGGCGAAAGCUUGACGGAGCAACGCCGCGUGAGUGAUGAAGGUCUUCGGAUCGUAAAACUCUGUUAUUAGGGAAGAACAAAUGUGUAAGUAACUAUGCACGUCUUGACGGUACCUAAUCAGAAAACCACGGCUAACUACGU